Molecule: long non-coding RNA, 1119 nt
Filed under: Fukomys damarensis (Damara mole-rat)
Lineage: Eukaryota; Metazoa; Chordata; Mammalia; Rodentia; Bathyergidae
Description: lncRNA (ENSFDAG00000025181.1)
Source: RNAcentral
AUGGUAGGGCGCCGUGGAACUCCCACGCAGGAGAAGAGAAGCGGACUGGACAGAGCCCCGCAGAGUGCUUGUUCCUUGAUCCACUUGCCCGUUUCCCUCGUAAUUACAAGUUCAAGUCUGAUACAUCGGAUCAGGAGGUCCCGCCGCCCAGGCAGGUGGAUGUUCCAGGGUUCACUUGGUGGCAGCUCUACAGAACUGAUUAAAACAAGGGCCGGAGGAGAGCAGACACAUUACUGCAGAGCUGGCCCAUUUCAGCUGCCAAGGAGUGAAGCGCUUGCAGGCGGUUGUGCGCCAUUCUCCUGGACCCCCGUGCCCAUGGCUCCUGCAUCCGGAGAGCCUCUUUUCACUAUUGCUGAGGCCUCAGGGGCUGUGAGAAGUGAAGGCUUUCGGACACUCACCACCCCUCCCCUUCCUUCUCCUGUGGCGUCCAACACCGUCAGACACCCAGGAUCCCACUGGAGGCAGGACAGCGUGAAGACUGACUACAGCAGUUCGCGUGGUGUAAAGGGUCGGGGUCCUUCAACAGUGACAGAAAUGCCAACUGGAACAAAGCAAGAGUGGUCCAAAGAAGAGAGAGGAAUAUUUCAGCUGCCUGGGGCACGUGCUGGCAGAUUGCUAGGAGACAAAAGGACGCGAAAGUGCAGAAGGCAGCCUGCCUUCACCCGGCAUCCAGCCCUGACCUCUUAUUUCACUCUGAUCGUCUCUGUGACCAAGUAUAAUUACUCUUCAAUGCUUACAUCUGCUGCUGACAUUGGGUUUCCAUGACAGAAAAUCCCAGAGAGUCAACAGAGGACCUGACAGGCACGCCUUCUUGCUGUCAUGGAAACGACCACUGGAUCUGCCUGCAUGAUCUGUGCACUGGGGACCGCUCUCCUAAGAGUCACCUGCCCAGCCCCACAGGAGCGUGGGCUGUCCUCUCCUGGCUGGGAUUUCCAUCUCUCUGGGUCAGCCGCCUGGGAGGGAGAGGAACUCCCACAAAGACAAGCACCCAUACGCUUGGGUAAAGAUGGCUGCUCCCCCACAGACACUCUCACUUUCCAAAUUUGAUUCCUCUAAUUCAGUGCUGAGCUUGUAGGAGGUUUUAAUAAAUGGUCAGUGUCCUUUCUUGAAAACCCAACA